RNAcentral lists this ribosomal RNA (465 nucleotides) under uncultured bacterium. Its description in RNAcentral is "partial 16S ribosomal RNA". It matches the Rfam family "Bacterial small subunit ribosomal RNA", at positions 28 to 507 of the family's 1533-position model. The record is from RNAcentral.
GACGAACGCUGGCGGCGUGCUUAACACAUGCAAGUCGAACGGAAAGGCCCCCUUGUGGGGUACUCGAGUGGCGAACGGGUGAGUAACACGUGAGUAACCUACCCUUGACUUUGGGAUGACUUCAGGAAACUGGGGCUAAUACCGGAUAGGAGCUCCUGCUGCAUGGUGGGGGUUGGAAAGUUUCGGCGGUUGGGGAUGGACUCGCGGCUUAUCAGCUUGUUGGUGGGGUAGUGGCUCACCAAGGCUUUGACGGGUAGCCGGCCUGAGAGGGUGACCGGCCACAUUGGGACUGAGAUACGGCCCAGACUCCUACGGGAGGCAGCAGUGGGGAAUAUUGCACAAUGGGCGGAAGCCUGAUGCAGCAACGCCGCGUGCGGGAUGACGGCCUUCGGGUUGUAAACCGCUUUCGCCUGUGACGAAGCGUGAGUGACGGUAAUGGGUAAAGAAGCACCGGCUAACUACGUG